UGGGGAAUAUUGCACAAUGGGCGCAAGCCUGAUGCAGCCAUGCCGCGUGUAUGAAGAAGGCCUUCGGGUUGUAAAGUACUUUCAGCGGGGAGGAAGGGAGUAAAGUUAAUACCUUUGCCCAUUGACGUUACCCGCAGAAGAAGCACCGGCUAACUCCGUGCCAGCAGCCGCGGUAAUACGGAGGGUGCAAGCGUUAAUCGGAAUUACUGGGCGUAAAGCGCACGCAGGCGGUUUGUUAAGUCAGAUGUGAAAUCCCCGGGCUCAACCUGGGAACUGCAUCUGAUACUGGCAAGCUUGAGUCUCGUAGAGGGGGGUAGAAUUCCAGGUGUAGCAGUGAAAUGCGUAGAGAUCUGGAGGAAUACCGGUGGCGAAGGCGGCCCCCUGGACGAAGACUGACGCUCAGGUGCGAAAGCGUGGGGAGCAAACAGG
RNAcentral lists this ribosomal RNA (429 nucleotides) under Chloroflexota bacterium. Its description in RNAcentral is "Chloroflexi bacterium partial 16S ribosomal RNA". It matches the Rfam family "Bacterial small subunit ribosomal RNA", at positions 355 to 776 of the family's 1533-position model. The record is from RNAcentral. Lineage: Bacteria; Bacillati; Chloroflexota.